Long non-coding RNA from Melozone crissalis (California towhee), 183 nucleotides. RefSeq lists it as uncharacterized. The transcript is spliced from 3 exons. Lineage: Eukaryota; Metazoa; Chordata; Aves; Passeriformes; Passerellidae. The record is from RefSeq and is a predicted model, not a curated record.
UUGUGUUCGAUUUGCAGCGGGUGUACGCUAAGGGAUACGGUGUUCUUCCUGAGUGGUACGGUUCUCGGUGCCGGUAGGGAUGAUAAAGGGUACUCAGAAAAUAUGUCUCCCUUAGAGUCCCACAGAAAGGUUCUCAGUGCGAUCUCUGUCAAGGCAAUUCUGAAGCGCUGAGCAGAGAUCUGC